AGCCCGCUCAUUUUUGUGUUUAUGCAACUUUUGUCUCUUGCCGAUCAGUGUAGUUGCAUAGUCACAAAAGUGAUUGGGAG
RNAcentral lists this microRNA precursor (80 nucleotides) under Lytechinus variegatus (green sea urchin). RNAcentral's name for it is "mir-153 microRNA precursor family". It matches the Rfam family "mir-153 microRNA precursor family". The record is from Rfam by way of RNAcentral. Lineage: Eukaryota; Metazoa; Echinodermata; Echinoidea; Temnopleuroida; Toxopneustidae.